AGAGUUUGAUCCUGGCUCAGGACGAACGCUGGCGGCGUGCUUAACACAUGCAAGUCGAACGGACGAUGAAGAGCUUGCUUUUCAGAGUUAGUGGCGGACGGGUGAGUAACGCGUGGGUAACCUGCCUCAUACAGGGGGAUAGCAGCUGGAAACGGCUGAUAAAACCGCAUAAGCGCACAGCAUCGCAUGAUGCAGUGUGAAAAACUCCGGUGGUAUGAGAUGGACCCGCGUCUGAUUAGCUGGUUGGUGAGGUAACGGCCCACCAAGGCGACGAUCAGUAGCCGGCCUGAGAGGGUGACCGGCCACAUUGGGACUGAGACACGGUCCAGACUCCUACGGGAGGCAGCAGUGGGGAAUAUUGGGCAAUGGGCGAAAGCCUGACCCAGCAACGCCGCGUGAGGGAAGAAGGUUUUCGGAUUGUAAACCUCUGUCCUUGGGGACGAAGGAAGUGACGGUACCCGAGGAGGAAGCCCCGGCUAACUACGUGCCAGCAGCCGCGGUAAUACGUAGGGGGCGAGCGUUGUCCGGAUUUAUUGGGUUUAAAGGGAGCGUAGGCGGAUUGUUAAGUCAGUUGUGAAAGUUUGCGGCUCAACCGUAAAAUUGCAGUUGAUACUGGCAGUCUUGAGUGCAGUAGAGGUGGGCGGAAUUCGUGGUGUAGCGGUGAAAUGCUUAGAUAUCACGAAGAACUCCGAUUGCGAAGGCAGCUCACUGGAGUGUAACUGACGCUGAUGCUCGAAAGUGUGGGUAUCAAACAGGAUUAGAUACCCUGGUAGUCCACACAGUAAACGCUGAAUACUCGCUGUUUGCGAUAUACAGUAAGCGGCCAAGCGAAAGCAUUAAGUAUUCCACCUGGGGAGUACGCCGGCAACGGUGAAACUCAAAGGAAUUGACGGGGACCCGCACAAGCGGUGGAGCAUGUGGUUUAAUUCGAAGCAACGCGAAGAACCUUACCAGGUUUUGACAUCCUUCUGACCGCACCUUAAUCGGUGCUUUCCUUCGGGACAGAAGAGACAGGUGGUGCAUGGUUGUCGUCAGCUCGUGUCGUGAGAUGUUGGGUUAAGUCCCGCAACGAGCGCAACCCCUAUCUUCAGUAGCCAGCAGGUAAGGCUGGGCACUCUGGAGAGACUGCCAGGGAUAACCUGGAGGAAGGUGGGGACGACGUCAAAUCAUCAUGCCCCUUAUGAUCUGGGCGACACACGUGCUACAAUGGCGGUCACAGAGUGAGGCGAACCCGCGAGGGGGAGCAAACCACAAAAAGGCCGUCCCAGUUCGGACUGUAGUCUGCAACCCGACUACACGAAGCUGGAAUCGCUAGUAAUCGCGAAUCAGAAUGUCGCGGUGAAUACGUUCCCGGGUCUUGUACUCACCGCCCGUCA
RNAcentral lists this ribosomal RNA (1376 nucleotides) under uncultured bacterium. Its description in RNAcentral is "bacterial SSU rRNA". It matches the Rfam family "Bacterial small subunit ribosomal RNA". The record is from RNAcentral.